UGGGAUAAAGAUCUCUGUGACUUUUU
RNAcentral lists this non-coding RNA (26 nucleotides) under Mus musculus (house mouse). Lineage: Eukaryota; Metazoa; Chordata; Mammalia; Rodentia; Muridae. The record is from RNAcentral.